UUGGAGGGUUUGAUCCUGGCUCAGGGCUAACGCUGGCGGCGUGUCUUAGACAUGCAAGUCGUACGGACCUUCCUUGUGUAGCAAUACGUAGGGAAGGUUAGUGGCGAACGGGUGAGUAAUACUGGGGUAAUCUACCCUGGAGCGGGGAACAACUUCGAGAAAUCGGGGCUAAUUCCCCAUACGCUCCACUGUACAUAGUGCAGAGGAGGAAAGGUGGCCUCUGCUUGCAAGCUACCACUCUGGGAUGAGCUCCUGGCCUAUCAGCUUGUUGGUGAGGUAACGGCUCACCAAGGCACAGACGGGUAGCCGGCCUGAGAGGGUGAUCGGCCACACGGGCACUGCGACACGGGCCCGACUCCUACGGGAGGCAGCAGUCUAGAAAAUUGCGCAAUGGGCGCAAGCCUGACGCAGCGACGCCGCGUGCGGGAUGAAGUCCUUCGGGAUGUAAACCGCUGUCCCGGGAGACGAUGGGGCGUAUACCCAAUACGUAUGCGCUUUGACGGUAUCCCGGAAGAAAGCACCGGCUAACUACGUGCCAGCAGCCGCGGUAAUACGUAGGGUGCAAGCGUUGCCCGGAUUCACUGGGCGUAAAGGGUGCGUAGGCGGAUUGGUAAGUCUGCUGUGAAAUCUCCGGGCUCAACCCGGAAACUGCGGUCGAUACUGCCGGUCUAGAGGACAGAAGAGGAGAGCGGAACUCCUGGUGUAGCGGUAAAAUGCGUGGAUAUCAGGAGGAAGGCCGAUGGCGAAGGCAGCUCUCUGGGAUGUUCCUGACGCUGAUGUACGAAAGCUAGGGUAGCAAACCGGAUUAGAUACCCGGGUAGUCCUAGCCGUAAACGAUGUACACUAGGUAUUGGCAUCAGUCAGUGCCGGAGCUAACGCAUUAAGUGUACCGCCUGGGGACUACGGCCGCAAGGCUAAAACUCAAAGGAAUUGACGGGGCCCCGCACAAGCGGUGGAUGAUGCGGUUUAAUUCGUUGCUACGCGAAGAACCUUACCUGGGCUUGACAUGUACGUGGUACGGAUCCGAAAGGUGAAGGACCGGGGUUUUCCCCGGAGCGUACACAGGUGCUGCACGGCUGUCGUCAGCUCGUGCCGUGAGGUGUUGGGUUAAGUCCCGCAACGAGCGCAACCCCUGCCGAUAGUUGCCAUCAGGUUAUGCUGGGCACUCUAUCGGGACUGCCCGGGUCAACCGGGAGGAAGGUGGGGACGACGUCAAGUCAUCGUGGCCUUUAUGCCCAGGGCUACACGCGUCAUACAGUGGCCGUUACAGAGGGUUGCCACACUGCGAAGUGGAGCUAAUCCCGUAAAAGCGGCCAUGGUUCGGAUUGCAGGCUGCAACUCGCCUGCAUGAAGGUGGAAUCGCUAGUAAUCGCAGAUCAGCAAUGCUGUGGUGAAUGCGUUCUCGGGGCUUGUACACACCGCCCGUCACGCCAUGGAAGUCGUGGGCGCCUGAAGACGCGGAGUCUAACCUCGUGAGGACCUGUGUUGAGGGUGAACUCGGUAACUGGGGCGAAGUCGUAACAAGGUAGCCGUACGGGAACGUGCGGCUGGAUCACCUCCUUUCUACGGA
Molecule: ribosomal RNA, 1570 nt
Filed under: candidate division TA06 bacterium B3_TA06
Lineage: Bacteria
Description: bacterial SSU rRNA
Rfam family: Bacterial small subunit ribosomal RNA
Source: RNAcentral